GACGGGUAUCCGGCCUGAGAGGGUGAACGGACACACUGGAACUGAGACACGGUCCAGACUCCUACGGGAGGCAGCAGUAGGGAAUAUUGCUCAAUGGGGGAAACCCUGAAGCAGCAACGCCGCGUGGAGGAUGAAGGUUUUCGGAUUGUAAACUCCUUUUGUUAGAGAAGAUAAUGACGGUAUCUAACGAAUAAGCACCGGCUAACUCCGUGCCAGCAGCCGCGGUAAUACGGAGGGUGCAAGCGUUACUCGGAAUCACUGGGCGUAAAGAGCGCGUAGGCGGAAUAGCAAGGUCAGAUGUGAAAUCCUAUGGCUUAACCAUAGAACUGCAUUUGAAACUGUUAUUCUAGA
RNAcentral lists this ribosomal RNA (351 nucleotides) under uncultured Helicobacter sp. RNAcentral's name for it is "bacterial SSU rRNA". It matches the Rfam family "Bacterial small subunit ribosomal RNA", at positions 278 to 645 of the family's 1533-position model. Lineage: Bacteria; Pseudomonadati; Campylobacterota; Epsilonproteobacteria; Campylobacterales; Helicobacteraceae. The record is from RNAcentral.